CAAGCAUCAUUAUUCUUCAAACCUGGUGCAUGGCACAAAGGGGACUACACUUCUCAGCAAUGUUCAAACCUCUGCCACCGUUAUUGGGACCGUCUUAGCUGCUACCUUUCUACAUGAGAUGAUCUACACAUCAAGCUUGUUAGGUGCUAUUGUUGUGAUUUCUGGUUUGUAUAUGGUGAUAUCGGGUCAAGCUUCAGACCAACAGGAGAUCAAACAAGGGGCAAAUUUUGUGCCACAAGCUGACGGGACAAAUAUUCAGCAAGGUUCUAUGGAUGGAUCUUCAGGAAAUAACAUCUGUAAAAAACAUUUGGAAGAGCCACUUCUAUAUGAAAAACUCCCUAAUGUGGACAAAGUGUGAUGAAUCUGAAUGACAUCCUCAAAGUUAGUUUUUUUCCUUUCGGAGAUACAAAUUUCAUGUCGAAAUAUCCUAGUGCCAUGCUUCACUCAGGUUCCAUCUUCAGAACAACUCUUCUGUGGUUACUUUCUGAAAUUGUGAUGUUCCCCGUCUCAUUAGAGUUUUAUAUAGAACAAAGUAAAUCCCCUGAUAAAUAGAUGACACAUACACGAGCAAUCGAAGACAGAGAGAACGGAUUUCAGAACUCAUAUUAUAGCCAACCCGAAAAGGUAACACCAUAUUGAACUCUGUUCAUUUUUUAAGUCUUCAGUGUUUAUAUUGAUUGACAUCACAUUUCAACUAUAAAAAUCCUCCUAAUUAUUGAAGUUUUA
Long non-coding RNA from Populus euphratica (Euphrates poplar), 726 nucleotides. RefSeq lists it as uncharacterized. The record is from RefSeq and is a predicted model, not a curated record. Lineage: Eukaryota; Viridiplantae; Streptophyta; Magnoliopsida; Malpighiales; Salicaceae. The transcript has 2 exons.